Molecule: transfer RNA, 68 nt
Filed under: Marmota monax (woodchuck)
Lineage: Eukaryota; Metazoa; Chordata; Mammalia; Rodentia; Sciuridae
Description: tRNA.Ala
Rfam family: tRNA (bases 5-65)
About the family: Transfer RNA (tRNA) molecules are approximately 80 nucleotides in length. Their secondary structure includes four short double-helical elements and three loops (D, anti-codon, and T loops).
Source: RNAcentral
GGUCUGUGGCUCAGAGGUAGAGCACUUGCCUAGCAUGCGUGAGGCCCUGGGUUCGAUCCUCAGCACCA